This is an RNA transcript of Sapajus apella (tufted capuchin), 1772 nucleotides long. It is a transcript of the gene named coagulation factor VII, with no coding region annotated. Lineage: Eukaryota; Metazoa; Chordata; Mammalia; Primates; Cebidae. The record is from RefSeq and is a predicted model, not a curated record. The transcript has 9 exons.
CUGCUGAGAGUCAUCAUGGCCUCCCAGGCCCACCGGCUCCUCUGCCUUCUGCUUGGGCUUCAGGGCUGUCUGGCUGCAGUCUUCAUCUCCCCGGAGGAGGCUCACGGCGUCCUGCGCAGGCACCGGCGCGCCUACGGGUUCCUGGAGGAGCUCCGGCCGGGCUCCCUGGAGCGGGAGUGCAAGGAGGAGCAGUGCUCCUUCGAGGAGGCCCGGGAGAUCUUCAGGGACACGGAGAGGACGAAGCUCUUCUGGAUUUCUUACAGUGAUGGGGACCAGUGUGCCUCGAGUCCGUGCCAGAACGGGGGUUCCUGCGAGGACCAGUUCCAGUCCUAUAUCUGCUUCUGUCUCCUUGGCUUCGAAGGCCGGAACUGUGAGACAAACAAGGACGACCAGCUGAUCUGCAUAAAUGAGAAUGGCGGCUGUGAGCAGUACUGCAGCGACCACGCGGGCACCAGGCGCUCCUGUCGGUGCCACGAGGGAUACUCGCUGCUGGCAGAUGGCGUGUCCUGCAUGCCCACAGUUGAAUAUCCAUGUGGAAAAAUACCUAUUCUAGAAAAAAGAAAUGCCAGCAUCCCCCAAGGCCGAAUUGUGGGGGGCAGGGUGUGCCCCAAAGGGGAGUGUCCGUGGCAGGUACUACUGGUGCAGAAUGGAGCUAUGUUUUGUGGGGGGACCCUGAUCGACACCAGCUGGGUGGUCUCCGCGGCUCACUGUUUUGACAAAAUCAAGAACUGGAGGAACAUAAGCGCAGUGCUGGGUGAGCACGACCUCAGCGAGCACGAUGGUGAUGAGCAGAGCCAGCGGGUGGCGCAGGUCAUCAUCCCCAGCACGUAUGUCCGGGGCACCACCAAUCAUGACAUUGCACUGCUCCGCCUGCACCAGCCUGUGGUCCUCACUGACCAUGUGGUGCCCCUCUGCCUGCCUGAGCGGACAUUCUCUGAGAUGACGCUGGCCUACGUGCGCUUCUCGUUGGUCAGCGGCUGGGGUCAGCUGCUGGACCGUGGCGCCAAGGCCCUGGAGCUCAUGGCCAUCAGCGUGCCCCGGCUGAUGACCCAGGACUGCCUGGAGCAGUCGGAGAAGACGGGAGGCUCCCCGAAUGUCACGGAGUACAUGUUCUGCGCCGGCUACCGGGAUGGCAGCAAGGACUCCUGCAAGGGGGACAGUGGAGGUCCACAUGCAACCCGCUACCGGGGCACGUGGUACCUGACAGGUGUCGUCAGCUGGGGCCAGGGCUGCGCAGCUGUAGGCCAUUUUGGAGUGUACACCAGGGUCUCCCAGUACACCGAGUGGCUGCACAACCUCAUGCACUCAGAACCACACCCAGGCAUCCUCUGGCGAGCCGCAUUUCCCUAACCCAGCAGCCCUGCCCCACGGAGAGAAAGCUGGGGCUGUGUAGAGCUGUCCUGGCACCAAACCCCAUUGAUUCUUCGGCAGUUCAUGGGGUAGAGGAAGGUUUGGGAGGGAGGGAGGGGUGGGGAGACAGAGACAGAAAGAAAACUGAGGGAGACAUUCUGAGGACAUGGAGAGACUCAAAGAGACUAAUAAAGACACAGACAGGGCAUAGAAAGAUGAGAGGCAGAGGCAGACAGGCGCUAGAUGGAGAACGGGAGUGCUAUGGCUGUCCUGGAGGCAGGCGGCCCAGCUAAACCUUGUCUCCCUUCAGCCAAGCCCACCUGCACGUGAUCUGCUGGCCUCAGGCUGCUGCUGUGCCUUCACUGCUGGAGACAGUAGAGUUUUCAGCAUCACUGAAAUGACUCUUCACACGGAAGCUGUUU